Labeo rohita (rohu) is the source of this 3500-nucleotide long non-coding RNA. RefSeq lists it as uncharacterized. The transcript is spliced from 3 exons. The record is from RefSeq and is a predicted model, not a curated record. NCBI's taxonomy places the organism in Eukaryota, Metazoa, Chordata, Actinopteri, Cypriniformes, Cyprinidae.
AUAGAUAGAUAGAUAGAUAGAUAGAUAGAUAGAUUAGUUAUUAGUUAGAAAGAACAUAGAUAGCUUAAAGCUUAAUUGAGUAUCAAUGGCUUCUAGCAGUUUACAUUAAACAUAGUUCAAACAGACAUGGACUUUUGGUCAAUGAAAGUCUAUGGGACUUUUUAUGAUUUUUAAUAUUAAUUUUUAAGAAAACCGUAACUCAAACCAGUCUGAAAAGAUAUAGCACACUAAGUCAGAACAGUAGGAAGAUCUGACCCGAGUUUGGAGUAUGUAGCUUGAACGGUCUAGGAGGAGUUAGUGUCCAAAAAAUUUGCGGUCAGAAAAAUAAGAAGAAGAAGAAGAAGAAGAAGAAGAAGAAGAAGAAGUUUAAAUAGGAUUUCAGUAAGUUGGCUUUCCCAAGCCAACUUAAUUAAAACAAAAAAGAACUCCAGAUGAACUUGUUGGGAAGUGCUGUCUGUCAAUGUCCCAGAAGCUCUUCAUCAGCAGUAAACGUCAAAUGUCAUGAAUGUCAGAACAGCAUCUCUCCACAGUAUGUGUGAACGGAAAUAUUCCAAAGAGGCAGGGAAGAAAAAACAAAAACAAUUGUUACAAAACAUUAUAAAUGGUUCAGUUGAGUAAAAGCAAUAGACAGUUACAGUCCAAAGUUAUGUUAAUGUUAAUAAUUUAAGCAGUAAGAGGGUAGAGGGGUAGAAUCAUUUUUAAAAAAAUGCAAUUUCUGCUCUGAUAAAGCAGUUUAUUCUGCAAGGUGUAUGUAAACUUGUGAGCACAUCUGAAUCACCUAAGAGGUGAAUUACCUCAAUCAUCAGGGCAACAUCAUAGUAGUGCUGGAGAUGUUCCUUCACAUUUCCCACAAACACCACAAUUCCUGACCACACCAUCUUUACUGACACUAGACUUUAAAAAUAGACAACAUUUUUACAAACAUUCUAUUUCUACUUUACAUGGAUUAAAACAUAAUUAUCAAUUACCCAAAUAUAUCCCAAAAUCCAUGAAAAUUAAGAAAGAUACCUUCAUUUUUUUUUCUCAUCUUGCCGUGUAAGCUUCUCUCGCACAUUUUCAUGAAGAAUGUUCCUGUAUUUAUCAUGGCUGGCACAACAAAGCUGAACCCCCUUCCUUGGGUUUGUUACCUGUAAAAUAUAUGAUGAUUAGUGGUGGAUCUGUAAAUGCACAGGUUGGAAUAUAUUACUCGCAAGUGGAAAAGAUUCACCUCAUUUAAAAUCCAUAGGUAUAGUGACUUUAUUGCACUUUUAACUGGUAAUGUGUGAUCAGGGUGAGCUGACUGGACAACAAUUCAUCACAAAACUAACAUCACCUCUUCAGUACUGGUCUGUGUUUCCACACUGUAUCUCCAGUAACAAAUCUUUACUGAUCCUGCAAAAUAAAUGAAUAACUCCAGAUAGCUACAAAAAUAUUACAUAUUACAAACACAAACCACUCUUCAUAUACAAAAAGCAAAAUACAACAUAAUUUCUAGAGGUGGCUGAUAUAUUGAAUAUUACUGGUGAUUAUAAUACAAGGUUGUUGGUGCAGACACAAGAUCGGAUCUUUGAAUUUUGUUCAGUCGCAUUAAAUUGAAUUUUAAAUUGUUUAUUUAAAAUAAAACAUAAUAUUUUCAGCAGCCAAAUUUCUUGGUCCACACACACAAUCACUUUCCAUCUUUUAUAGUUUUAGUCUAGUUGUAGUCGAUGAAAAGUCACUGCAUUUUUGUCAAAUUUUAGUCAUUACUUUUAAUCAAACUGCAGUUACUAACAUUUAUUUUGGUAGCUAUAAUCAUUAAUUUUUUAGACCAAAUCAAAGCUUAUGAUAAAUUUGAAUCAAGGAUUGAAUUUGGGAAAACUUGAAUAUAUUAUGACAAUUUUCUUUUUUGGGUGAACUAUCCCUUUAACAGUAUGGAAAAAGGAGUACUUAUUAUACUUGAAGACAUGUAUGUAAUACUGACACACAUUCAAUUUUUACCCACCUGUUUACGUUCACUUAAGCCAUAACUUACAUAAUGUACGUGAGAUACUCACAUUUGGACUACUGCGUGUGCAUUUUUUCAAUGUCCGUUCAUCCUCAAAUAAUGUAGAUGAUGACUUUAAAACAGCCAUUAAAGCCUUUGUCCAAUUUACUUCAGUUUCUCUACUUCAGACAUCUUAAUUAUAGAUUUUAGUAGGAACUACUUUGUGCGGAAACACUUAACACUUGUUUUGUUUUGUUUUAUUUUUAUUUAUUUUUUUGCUUUGCUGUUUUAUUUGUUUAACGACUGUUACCAAAAAAAAAUAAAUAAAUAAAUAAAUCACUUGUUUUAGAUAGUGCCUGGUUUGUGCAAAUGCAACAGGAAAACAGCUCGAGGGGGAAAUUUGUUUUUUCUAGAAAACACCAUGAUGGCUACUUCCUACAAAUGAGUUCUUACAGCAAAUGUUAUGCGCUGUGAAAGCACCUAAUGCAUUAUUAGUUAAUUAGUUAAUAGCUUUAAAAAAAGAUAAAACCCUUGACAGCUCAUUAUUAAUAUUUUAUCUUCUUAUAUCACACACAUGAUUUUAGCUACUCUUUAGUUUGACAUUGUGAAAUAGUAGUGGUCAAAGAUACAUAAUGCAUAAAAAUGCUUAAAAAUCCUACAUGGGUCAUACAGGCCAUAAUAGACUAUAGUAUUUCAUAAAUCUGAAUAGCGUGACCCAUGAAGGAGUAAUUAUAAUAAUCAAUAAUGUCAUUAAUUCAGGACAAGCUGAAGGUUUAUGGUUUCACUCUCAUAUAAUGAAGACAUGAAUUAUACAGUAACACGUCUCUUCACAUCAACUGCACUGAAACACUGAUGAUGAAACACAAACUGCACAAGUUCAUUUAUCAUUUCUGUGAUGUGAAGUUCAAGUACGAUGUGAUGAUGAUGUUUGGUUUAUAUGUCCAUUAUCACAGAUCCAGCUGCUGGACCAAUAUUCAGAGUGAUUGUGAUUAUUGUUGAGUUUGCAGUGUUUGCUGCUCCUACUGUGAUUCUUCUUCAGAUCAUCUGUGCAAGAAGAGCUGGGAGGAAGAACUGACAGCACUGAGAGGAAAUAGUGAAUAAAAUACUCUCUAAUAAUAAAAGGCCAAAUUACAGCAAAAAUGUAUCUUCAUCUCAAUGAUGUUAUGAAUAUUUUCAUGCAGCUUUCAAGGAUGUUUGUUUAUACAUAUAAUAUCUGGCCAUUUUCUAAACUUGAUUCAUCUGAUCGUUACAUUAAACAUUUUAAGACUUUUUCCAUGUUGUAAUAGUUGAUAUUAAAUGUGUCACACCCCUGUGGACUGUUUAGUUUGGUUUCUCCCUCUUGUGCCCAUAUUUGGUCGUUCCUGUUUCCUGUCCUCGUUUAGUCAUCAUUAGUUAACCUUGUAUCACCUGUGCCUUAAUUUAGUUUAUUGUUAUCACCUGUCUUUAUAAGUUGCAUUCUGUUCAGUGUUUGGAGUCCGGUCACGUCUAUGUUAACGUCAGUGCAUGCGUGUUUUCUUCCUACUGUGGGUUUAUCUGUUUUGGAUUUACCUGUGGAAUA